GCGCCCGUAGCUCAGUUGGAUAGAGUGGCAGCCUCCGAAGCUGCAGGUCGCUGGUUCGAAUCCAGUCGGGCGCGCCA
RNAcentral lists this transfer RNA (77 nucleotides) under Gammaproteobacteria bacterium. RNAcentral describes it as "tRNA-Arg". It matches the Rfam family "tRNA". From Rfam's summary of the family: Transfer RNA (tRNA) molecules are approximately 80 nucleotides in length. Their secondary structure includes four short double-helical elements and three loops (D, anti-codon, and T loops). RNAcentral also lists the same sequence under 12 other names. Lineage: Bacteria; Pseudomonadati; Pseudomonadota; Gammaproteobacteria. The record is from RNAcentral.